CCGAGUUAUCCAACUCCCAACCCCUGUGAAUCAUACCUUUAAUUGUUGCUUCGGCGGGACUUCGCGCCCGCCGGGGACCCAAACCUUCUGAAUUUUUUAAUAAGUAUCUCCUGAGUGGUUAAAAAAAAUGAAUCAAAACUUUCAACAACGGAUCUCUUGGUUCUGGCAUCGAUGAAGAACGCAGCGAAAUGCGAUAAGUAAUGUGAAUUGCAGAAUUCAGUGAAUCAUCGAAUCUUUGAACGCACAUUGCGCCCGUCAGUAUUCUGGCGGGCAUGCCUGUUCGAGCGUCAUUACGCCCCUCAAGUCCCCUGUGGACUUGGUGUUGGGGAUCGGCGAGGCUGGUUUUCCAGCACAGCCGUCCCUUAAAUUAAUUGGCGGUCUCGCCGUGGCCCUCCUCUGCGCAGUAGUAAAGCACUCGCAACAGGAGCCCGGCGCGGUCCACUGCCGUAAAACCCCCCAACUUUUUAUAG
Molecule: ribosomal RNA, 470 nt
Filed under: Metarhizium anisopliae
Lineage: Eukaryota; Fungi; Ascomycota; Sordariomycetes; Hypocreales; Clavicipitaceae
Description: eukaryotic LSU rRNA
Rfam family: 5.8S ribosomal RNA (bases 137-290)
Source: RNAcentral